UCUCUCUCUCUCUCUCUCUCUCUCUCUCUCUAUCCCUUCCACCUCCACCCGCAGGAAAAAGAGCACGAAUCCAGCAGAAGGAGACGACAGGGUCCUUGGCGUGAAGGGCGACGCAGAGAUUCACCUGAACGACAGCUGUAGUGAUGAGCAGUUAAGAGGAGGCGGUGGCUGCCGGUGAGCCCGGCAAAGCAGAAGGGCCAUGCCGGCGUGUAGACCAGGUCACGGAUGGCGCCGGAGAAAGAAAUGCCUCAGCCGGAAAGUUGACCAUCCUGUCACAGCUGCAAACAGAGGACGGUUAGUUCCUCACAGAGAUAGAUAGAUAGGGUGACAGAUAGAUUCAGAGAGAGAGAGAGAGAUAGAAACCCAGAGAGAGAAACGAACCGACCAGGUGAGAUGAACCUCCAUCCCUCCUUCCUUCCUGUCCAGGCUGCACCGUUGGUUCAGACGACGCGGUGGAUUGGAUGUUCCUUGUUCCUCCAACCCCAUGCGCUCCUCUCCUCCCCUCGCUCGCCCCGCCAGCCUCCGGCUCCGCCGCGCCGCAGUGGGUCUAAUUUUGGAGAAAUGAGAGGACAACCGUCCGUCAACAGGAAACCCAGUCCGGAGUCCAUCUUUCUCCUUUUUUCCCCCACCAAACCACCGCGAGGAGAUCGCCGGAAAACAGGAAAUUGAGCUGUGCGCGGAGCUUUCCCUGUUCCGAAACGGUGCAAGGGGAGCUUUUUCCUGCUUUCCUCACGGAAAUCACAGGAAGGCUGAAGAGGGAGGGGCCGCCGAGAAGAGAUGGGGAGGCUUCAACGGAGACCUACCCCUCCCGGGAAAGGUUAGAGGCCGCCGAAAAGCGCCCCCAGUUCACCAUUACUGCCGUCGCCGCCUCCUUGUGCUCCUCCUGCUCCUCGGCCAUUGAUGGAGGUCUGGAUCAACUUGGGCGUUGGAGCAUUCCGAGGCAUCAUCCGUCGGACAGUCGCCCACCUUGUCGCUUGAUAAUUAAAAUAAUUACGGACGGUGCCGUCGGCAUUGAAC
Molecule: long non-coding RNA, 1017 nt
Filed under: Spirodela polyrhiza (greater duckweed)
Lineage: Eukaryota; Viridiplantae; Streptophyta; Magnoliopsida; Alismatales; Araceae
Description: long non-coding RNA (SPOL_LNC000928)
Source: RNAcentral